UGGGGAAUUUUCCGCAAUGGGCGAAAGCCUGACGGAGCAACGCCGCGUGAGGGAUGAAGGCCUCUGGGCUGUAAACCUCUUUUCUCAAGGAAGAAGAUCUGACGGUACUUGAGGAAUAAGCCACGGCUAAUUCCGUGCCAGCAGCCGCGGUAAUACGGGAGUGGCAAGCGUUAUCCGGAAUUAUUGGGCGUAAAGCGUCCGCAGGCGGCCUCGUAAGUCUGUCGUUAAAGCGUGGAGCUUAACUCCAUUUCAGCGAUGGAAACUGCGAGGCUAGAGUGUGGUAGGGGCAGAGGGAAUUCCCGGUGUAGCGGUGAAAUGCGUAGAUAUCGGGAAGAACACCAGUGGCGAAGGCGCUCUGCUGGGCCAUAACUGACGCUCAUGGACGAAAGCCAGGGGAGCGAAAGGGAUUAGAUACCCCUGUAGU
This 424-nucleotide ribosomal RNA is filed under the name uncultured Chroococcales cyanobacterium. RNAcentral describes it as "bacterial SSU rRNA". It matches the Rfam family "Bacterial small subunit ribosomal RNA", at positions 355 to 794 of the family's 1533-position model. The record is from RNAcentral. Lineage: Bacteria; Bacillati; Cyanobacteriota; Cyanophyceae; Chroococcales.